RNAcentral lists this ribosomal RNA (1380 nucleotides) under uncultured bacterium. RNAcentral describes it as "bacterial SSU rRNA". It matches the Rfam family "Bacterial small subunit ribosomal RNA". The record is from RNAcentral.
AGAGUUUGAUCCUGGCUCAGGACGAACGCUGGCGGCGCGCCUAACACAUGCAAGUCGAACGGAGCUGAGAGGAGCUUGCUUUUCUCAGCUUAGUGGCGAACGGGUGAGUAACGCGUGAGUAACCUGCCCUGGAGUGGGGGACAACAGUUGGAAACGACUGCUAAUACCGCAUAAGCCCACGGCCCGGCAUCGGGCUGCGGGAAAAGGAUUUAUUCGCUUCAGGAUGGACUCGCGUCCAAUUAGCUAGUUGGUGAGGUAACGGCCCACCAAGGCGACGAUUGGUAGCCGGACUGAGAGGUUGAACGGCCACAUUGGGACUGAGACACGGCCCAGACUCCUACGGGAGGCAGCAGUGGGGGAUAUUGCACAAUGGGGGAAACCCUGAUGCAACGACGCCGCGUGGAGGAAGAAGGUUUUCGGAUUGUAAACUCCUGUCGUUAGGGACGAUAAUGACGGUACCUAACAAGAAAGCACCGGCUAACUACGUGCCAGCAGCCGCGGUAAAACGUAGGGUGCAAGCGUUGUCCGGAAUUACUGGGUGUAAAGGGAGCGCAGGCGGACCGGCAAGUUGGAAGUGAAAACUAUGGGCUCAACCCAUAAAUUGCUUUCAAAACUGCUGGCCUUGAGUAGUGCAGAGGUAGGUGGAAUUCCCGGUGUAGCGGUGGAAUGCGUAGAUAUCGGGAGGAACACCAGUGGCGAAGGCGACCUACUGGGCACCAACUGACGCUGAGGCUCGAAAGCAUGGGUAGCAAACAGGAUUAGAUACCCUGGUAGUCCAUGCCGUAAACGAUGAUUACUAGGUGUUGGAGGAUUGACCCCUUCAGUGCCGCAGUUAACACAAUAAGUAAUCCACCUGGGGAGUACGACCGCAAGGUUGAAACUCAAAGGAAUUGACGGGGGCCCGCACAAGCAGUGGAGUAUGUGGUUUAAUUCGAAGCAACGCGAAGAACCUUACCAGGUCUUGACAUCCCUCUGACCGGGACUUAACCGUCCCUUUCCUUCGGGACAGGGGAGACAGGUGGUGCAUGGUUGUCGUCAGCUCGUGUCGUGAGAUGUUGGGUUAAGUCCCGCAACGAGCGCAACCCCUAUCCUUAGUAGCCAGCACGUAAUGGUGGGCACUCUGAGGAGACUGCCAGGGAUAACCUGGAGGAAGGCGGGGAUGACGUCAAAUCAUCAUGCCCCUUAUGAUUUGGGCUACACACGUGCUACAAUGGCGUAAACAAAGGGAAGCGAACCUGUGAGGGUGGGCAAAUCUCAAAAAUAACGUCCCAGUUCGGACUGCAGUCUGCAACUCGACUGCACGAAGCUGGAAUCGCUAGUAAUCGCGGAUCAGAAUGCCGCGGUGAAUACGUUCCCGGGUCUUGCACACACCGCCCGUCA